UAGGGAAUCUUCCGCAAUGGACGCAAGUCUGACGGAGCAACGCCGCGUGAGUGAUGAAGGUUUUCGGAUCGUAAAGCUCUGUUGCCAGGGACGAAAAGCUGGGGGAGUAACUGCCCCUAGUGUGACGGUACCUGAGAAGAAAGCCCCGGCUAACUACGUGCCAGCAGCCGCGGUAAUACGUAGGGGGCAAGCGUUGUCCGGAAUUAUUGGGCGUAAAGCGCGCGCAGGCGGCUACUUAAGUUUGGUGUAUAAGCCCGGGGCUCAACCCCGGUCCGCACCGAAAACUGGGUGGCUUGAGUGCGGGAGAGGAAAGUGGAAUUCCACGUGUAGCGGUGAAAUGCGUAGAGAUGUGGAGGAACACCAGUGGCGAAGGCGACUUUCUGGACCGUAACUGACGCUGAGGCGCGAAAGCGUGGGGAGCAAACA
This 426-nucleotide ribosomal RNA is filed under the name uncultured Paenibacillus sp. RNAcentral's name for it is "bacterial SSU rRNA". It matches the Rfam family "Bacterial small subunit ribosomal RNA", at positions 355 to 774 of the family's 1533-position model. The record is from RNAcentral. Lineage: Bacteria; Bacillati; Bacillota; Bacilli; Caryophanales; Paenibacillaceae.